GAUAAACGCUAGCGGCAGGCUUAACACAUGCAAGUCGAGGGGCAGCAUAGAUUGUAGCAAUACAAUUGGUGGCGACCGGCGCACGGGUGCGUAACGCGUAUGCAACCUACCCGUCACAGGGGGAUAAUCCGGAGAAAUCUGGUCUAAUACCCCAUAACAUAUGGAUCGUCAUCGGAUCAUGUUGAAAUUUUCGGAGGUGACGGAUGGGCAUGCGUAGCAUUAGCUUGUUGGUGAGGUAACGGCUCACCAAGGCGACGAUGCGUAGGGGGACUGAGAGGUUUUCCCCCCACACUGGUACUGAGACACGGACCAGACUCCUGCGGGAGGCAGCAGUGAGGAAUAUUGGUCAAUGGGCGCAAGCCUGAACCAGCCAUGCCGCGUGCAGGAUGACGGCUCUAUGAGUUGUAAACUGCUUUUGUACGAGGGUAAAGUGGGUUACGUGUAACCUUUUGAAAGUAUCGUACGAAUAAGGAUCGGCUAACUCCGUGCCAGCCGCCGCCGUAA
Molecule: ribosomal RNA, 504 nt
Filed under: uncultured bacterium
Lineage: Bacteria
Description: partial 16S ribosomal RNA
Rfam family: Bacterial small subunit ribosomal RNA
Source: RNAcentral